CGAUAAUGAUGAAUUCCACUUCAUGGUCCGUGUUUCUGAAAUCAAUGACUUGGUGGAAGUUCUGAUACC
This 69-nucleotide small nucleolar RNA is filed under the name Chinchilla lanigera (long-tailed chinchilla). RNAcentral's name for it is "Small nucleolar RNA SNORD18 (ENSCLAG00000018894.1)". It matches the Rfam family "Small nucleolar RNA SNORD18". Rfam says of the family: U18 is a member of the C/D class of snoRNA which contain the C (UGAUGA) and D (CUGA) box motifs. It is encoded in introns of ribosomal protein L1 in Xenopus and human, and in introns of elongation factor 1 beta in yeast. The record is from Rfam by way of RNAcentral. Lineage: Eukaryota; Metazoa; Chordata; Mammalia; Rodentia; Chinchillidae.